RNAcentral lists this long non-coding RNA (219 nucleotides) under Coturnix japonica (Japanese quail). RNAcentral describes it as "lncRNA (ENSCJPG00005006539.1)". The record is from RNAcentral. Lineage: Eukaryota; Metazoa; Chordata; Aves; Galliformes; Phasianidae.
CCCUACGUAGCUCCAUGUUGAUCCACGUUGACCCAUGUUGAUCACGUUGACCCAUGUUGGCCCCUACGUAGCUCCAUGUUGAUCCACGUUGACCCAUGUAGGCCCAUGAUGAUCUGCUGUCAGCCUACGUAGCUCCAUGUUGACCACGUUGACCUAUCUAUCUCUUUGCAGGUGAGAAACCCCACCAGUGCAGCAUCUGUUGGCGCUCCUUCUCUCUAA